GAUGAACGCUGGCGGCGUGCCUAACACAUGCAAGUCGAGCGGACAGACGAGGAGCUUGCUCUUCUGAUUUUAGUUUUUUACGGGCGAGUAACACGUGGAUAACCAUCCUUUAAGACUUGGCUCACUUCGGGAAACUGGCGCUAAUACCCCAUAAUAUGUUGCCCCUCAUGGCUCAACAGCGCAUGCCUUUCUUGCUGUCACUUUUUGAUUGAUCCGUGUCGCAUUAGCUAGUUGGUAAGUUAACGGUUUACCAAGGCAGCGAUGCGUAGCGGACAUGAUGGGGAGAACGGCCACACGGGAAGUGAGACACGGUCCAGACUCCUAAGGGAGGCAGCAGUAGGGAAUCUUACGCAAUGGGCGAAAGGCUGACGGAGCAAAGCCGCGGGAGUGAAGAAGGUCUGCGGAUCGGAAAGCGAUGUUGUUAGGGAAGAAGAAAUGUGUAAGUAAAUAUGCAGGUAAUGACGGUACCAAAGAAGGAAGCCCCGGCUAACUACGUG
This 497-nucleotide ribosomal RNA is filed under the name uncultured bacterium. RNAcentral's name for it is "partial 16S ribosomal RNA". It matches the Rfam family "Bacterial small subunit ribosomal RNA", at positions 28 to 507 of the family's 1533-position model. The record is from RNAcentral.